This 468-nucleotide ribosomal RNA is filed under the name uncultured bacterium. Its description in RNAcentral is "partial 16S ribosomal RNA". It matches the Rfam family "Bacterial small subunit ribosomal RNA", at positions 28 to 507 of the family's 1533-position model. The record is from RNAcentral.
GACGAACGCUGGCGGCGUGCUUAACACAUGCAAGUCGAACGGCAAGGCCCUGCUUUUGUGGGGUGCUCGAGUGGCGAACGGGUGAGUAACACGUGAGUAACCUGCCCUUGACUUUGGGAUAACUUCAGGAAACUGGGGCUAAUACCGGAUAGGAGCUCCUGCUGCAUGGUGGGGGUUGGAUAGUUUCGGCGGUUGGGGAUGGACUCGCGGCUUAUCAGCUUGUUGGUGGGGUAGUGGCUUACCAAGGCUUUGACGGGUAGCAGGCAUGAGAGGGUGACCGGCCACAUUGGGACUGAGAUACGGCCCAGAGUCCUACGGGAGGCAGCAGUGGGGAAAAUUGCACAAAGGGCGGAAGCCUGAUGCAGCAACGCCGCGUGCGGGAUGACGGCCUUCGGGUGGUAAACCGAUUUCGCCUGUGACGAAGCGUGAGUGAGGGUAAUGGGUAAAGAAGAACAGGCUAACUACGUG